CUACUGGAGCCGGAUGAGAGGAAACUUUCAUGUCCGAUUUUGAAAGGGGGAGAUCCUAUAGGAUCCUAUCCAAAUUUUUCUUUUGCUAGGCCCAUCGCUAAAAAACCCACUUUCUUACGAUUACGAGGUUCAUUCGAAUACGAAAUCCAAUCUUGGAAAUACAGUAUCCCACUUUUUUUUACUACCCCAGGCUUACGAUACAUUUAGAAAUCGAGAAAUUUCUACUGGAGCGGGUGCUAUCCGAGAACAAUUAGCCGAUCUGGAUUUGAGAAUUAUUAUAGAUUAUUCGUUGUUAGAAUGGAAAGAGUUGGGGGAAGAAGGGUCCACGGGGAAUGAAUGGGAAGAUCGAAAGAUUGGAAGACGAAAGGAUUUUUUGGUUAGACGCAUGGAGUUGGCUAAGCAUUUUAUUCGAACAAAUAUAGAACCAGAAUGGAUGGUUUUAUGUCUAUUACCAGUUCUUCCGCCCGAGUUGAGACCAAUCAUUCAGAUAGACGGGGGUAAACUAAUGAGCUCGGAUAUUAAUGAACUCUAUAGAAGAGUUAUUUAUCGGAACAAUACUCUUAUCGAUCUCUUAACAACAAGUAGAUCUACGCCAGGAGAAUUAGUCAUGUGU
This is an RNA transcript of Fragaria vesca subsp. vesca, 613 nucleotides long. It is a transcript of the gene named DNA-directed RNA polymerase subunit beta'-like, with no coding region annotated. The record is from RefSeq and is a predicted model, not a curated record. The transcript has a single exon. The annotation marks the transcript as partial. Lineage: Eukaryota; Viridiplantae; Streptophyta; Magnoliopsida; Rosales; Rosaceae.